AUUGAACGCUGGCGGCAUGCCUUACACAUGCAAGUCGAACGGCAGCACGGGAGCAAUCCUGGUGGCGAGUGGCGAACGGGUGAGUAAUAUAUCGGAACGUGCCCAGUCGUGGGGGAUAACGCAGCGAAAGCUGUGCUAAUACCGCAUACGAUCUAAGGAUGAAAGCGGGGGAUCGCAAGACCUCGCGUGAUUGGAGCGGCCGAUAUCAGAUUAGCUAGUUGGUGGGGUAAAGGCCCACCAAGGCGACGAUCUGUAGCUGGUCUGAGAGGACGACCAGCCACACUGGAACUGAGACACGGUCCAGACUCCUACGGGAGGCAGCAGUGGGGAAUUUUGGACAAUGGGCGCAAGCCUGAUCCAGCAAUGCCGCGUGCAGGAUGAAGGCCUUCGGGUUGUAAACUGCUUUUGUACGGAACGAAACGGCGAGCUCUAAUACAGUUUGCUAAUGACGGUACCGUAAGAAUAAGCACCGGCUAACUACGUGCCAGCCGCCGCCGUAA
This 500-nucleotide ribosomal RNA is filed under the name uncultured bacterium. RNAcentral's name for it is "partial 16S ribosomal RNA". It matches the Rfam family "Bacterial small subunit ribosomal RNA", at positions 30 to 523 of the family's 1533-position model. The record is from RNAcentral.